This 406-nucleotide long non-coding RNA is filed under the name Homo sapiens (human). RNAcentral's name for it is "non-protein coding EGOT:1". The record is from RNAcentral. Lineage: Eukaryota; Metazoa; Chordata; Mammalia; Primates; Hominidae.
GAAGUUAAUAAAGGGAAGUCAGCUUGCCUCUGAUUAUUCAAACAGGCUACUGCUAUUAAGGAUUGCACAACUUCUGGGCAAGGCAGAGAGGAGACAGAGACGUCAUUGCUUCACCCAGGGCAAGAGGACAAAGGAGGAUGCAUGGAAAUACAAACAGCCCUUCUCCUCCAGGCCAUACCGACUGUCCAACUAGCAACAGACUUCACCUGGUUUUGGAGCAAUCUGAAUUUGGAAUAUGCCAGAGAAAACUUCUAUCAGGCAAGAUGGAAGACUCCUAGGAUAGGUCUCUCUCAUGGAGGGAUUGGUAAUAAAAAAAUCAUGGGAAAAGAAAUAAGGGAGGGUGGAAAAAACACACCUUAGAAAACAACUUCUGAUGUCCCGGGGCUACACAAUGGGGGAGCUGAGC